Carassius gibelio (silver crucian carp) is the source of this 390-nucleotide long non-coding RNA. RefSeq lists it as uncharacterized. NCBI's taxonomy places the organism in Eukaryota, Metazoa, Chordata, Actinopteri, Cypriniformes, Cyprinidae. The record is from RefSeq and is a predicted model, not a curated record. The transcript has 3 exons.
CGCUUAACGUUAAUUAGUUGUAAUUACAAACUAGAGCGAUGUCGAGUAGCAGUGCAAUGAAUAUAUGGCGUUUCUCUCAUCAAAAACCAUCAAAGUUGGCAGGAGAGUGCAGCAGCGAUUUAACUUUAGACGAAAGGCCUAAAGCGAAAUAUUCAAGAGCUCCUGGUAUUCUGUAAUACCGAAUCCACUUGUCCCAAUAAUCGGACAGCGUGAUGUCGAGCCCCGUGACGUGUGUUUAGACUGCUCCAGUCUUCACGAGAGCAGCGGUUUGGAGACCCGGGCCAGCUGCAUCUGUGCCAGUAUCUUCAGUGUCUGUGAGCAGUUACUCAAGGGGUAUCAAAUCAGAUCAGGUUAUGAACAGUCUUAAAGAAUAAAUCUGAUGCCUCGUAA